RNAcentral lists this ribosomal RNA (543 nucleotides) under Triticum aestivum (bread wheat). Its description in RNAcentral is "partial small subunit ribosomal RNA". Lineage: Eukaryota; Viridiplantae; Streptophyta; Magnoliopsida; Poales; Poaceae. The record is from RNAcentral.
AUGGAGGCCUGUAUCGUAAUAAGGAGCUUACGGCACCUAGCUAGGCACCCGACGAGUUUGUGCUCUCUCAUCUUCAGAGCUUUGGCUGAUCUGAUGGGACUUUCCCCCAGUGUACUCAGCAAAUUCAGAGGAGACCCGCCGCCCAUGGAGAAUAUGCUGGAGCCGGAGCCGGAGCUGCCACCGGAUAUGCUGUCGAGCAUCUUUGCCCUCCUCGAGGUCCCUGACCUCGUGCGCGCAGGCUCUGUCUGCUCCUCCUGGCGCUCGGUGUACACCGCACUACGCAGUCAGCUUCUGAAGCACAAACAGCGCCAGACGCCUUGCCUCCUCUACCACACCUCUGAAUCUGCCGGAGAGAAUGCAGCUUGCCUCUACAGCCUUGCGGAAAAGAGGGCCUACAAGUUAACCCUCCCGGAUCCACCGAUCCACAGUAGGUAUCUGAUUGGCUCUUCGCAUGGUUGGCUGAUCACUUCUGAUGAGAGGUCUGAGCUGCACCUUGUAAAUCCAAUCACUGGUGAACAGAUUGUUCUCCCAUCAGUGAAUUAG